Molecule: ribosomal RNA, 465 nt
Filed under: uncultured bacterium
Lineage: Bacteria
Description: partial 16S ribosomal RNA
Rfam family: Bacterial small subunit ribosomal RNA
Source: RNAcentral
GACGAACGCUGGCGGCGUGCUUAACACAUGCAAGUCGAACGGAAAGGCCCCUUUGGGGGUACUCGAGUGGCGAACGGGUGAGUAACACGUGAGUAACCUGCCCUUGACUUCGGGAUAACUUCAGGAAACUGGGGCUAAUACCGGAUAGGAAUCCUUGCUGCAUGGUGGGGGUUGGAAAGCUUCGGCGGUUUUGGAUGGACUCGCGGCUUAUCAGCUUGUUGGUGGGGUAGUGGCUUACCAAGGCUUUGACGGGUAGCCGGCCUGAGAGGGCGACCGGCCACAUUGGGACUGAGAUACGGCAGAGACUCCUACGGGAGGCAGCAGUGGGGAAUAUUGCACAAUGGGCGGAAGGCUGAUGCAGCAACGCCGCGUGCGGGAUGACGGGCUUCGGGUUGUAAACCGAUUUCAGCAGGGGCGAAGCUUGUGGUGACGGUACCUGCAGAAGAAGCACCGGCUAACUACGUG